AGCUUUGCACAGCAGCAGUAUCAUAGCCAAUGAGGUUUAUCCAAGGCACAAUUAUUGCUAAUUGAAAACUUUUCCCAAUACCCCACCCCGCCCCCAGUGACAACUUGCAAUAUAGUCGGCAUUGACAAUUUUUGAAAGUCUCUACAGAGA
Molecule: small nuclear RNA, 150 nt
Filed under: Saimiri boliviensis boliviensis (Bolivian squirrel monkey)
Lineage: Eukaryota; Metazoa; Chordata; Mammalia; Primates; Cebidae
Description: U4 spliceosomal RNA (ENSSBOG00000003389.1)
Rfam family: U4 spliceosomal RNA
About the family: U4 small nuclear RNA (U4 snRNA) is a component of the major U2-dependent spliceosome. The structure of U4 snRNA from yeast and human has been reported.
Source: Rfam by way of RNAcentral